Molecule: ribosomal RNA, 253 nt
Filed under: uncultured bacterium
Lineage: Bacteria
Description: partial 16S ribosomal RNA
Rfam family: Bacterial small subunit ribosomal RNA
Source: RNAcentral
UACAGAGGGGGCAAGCGUUGUUCGGAAUUACUGGGCGUAAAGGGCGCGUAGGCGGCCUGUUAAGUCGGACGUGAAAUCCCUCGGCUCAACCGAGGAACUGCGUCCGAUACUGGCGGGCUUGAAUUCGGGAGAGGGAUGUGGAAUUCCAGGUGUAGCGGUGAAAUGCGUAGAUAUCUGGAGGAACACCGGUGGCGAAGGCGGCAUCCUGGACCGACAUUGACGCUGAGGCGCGAAAGCUAGGGGAGCAAACAGG